This 432-nucleotide ribosomal RNA is filed under the name Triticum aestivum (bread wheat). Its description in RNAcentral is "partial small subunit ribosomal RNA". Lineage: Eukaryota; Viridiplantae; Streptophyta; Magnoliopsida; Poales; Poaceae. The record is from RNAcentral.
AUGAAUUGCAUCGUUUGGAGCUGUCGAGGUGCAGGGAACGCGUCGACAGUUCGAGAUAUCCUCUCUCUCUCUCGAGCCCAUUCCUCUGGUAUGAUUUUCCUGUGUGAAACUAGGCAAAAGAAAGAGAAAAUGUAUCGUCUUCGUAAUAGGCUGGGUCUAAGAGGUUUCGAAGGAGUUAGCAGUGAGGGUAACAGUGGAGGUUUAGCUUUGUUUUGGCAUGAGUCUUUCUAUGUUGAUGCUCGUGAUUGCAAUAAAAGAUGGAUUGAUGUGUAUGUCUGGCUACCUGCUGAUAAUCAACAAUGGCGUGUUACUUUUGUGUAUGGCGAGCCGAGAGUUGAAAAUAGACACUUAAUGUGGGAGGGACUGAAAAGAUUAAGGGCUCAGGAUGAUGUUCCAUGGCUUUUAACUGGUGAUUUUAAUGAAGUUAUGUAG